RNAcentral lists this ribosomal RNA (568 nucleotides) under uncultured bacterium. RNAcentral's name for it is "partial 16S ribosomal RNA". It matches the Rfam family "Bacterial small subunit ribosomal RNA", at positions 355 to 914 of the family's 1533-position model. The record is from RNAcentral.
UGGGGAAUUUUGGACAAUGGGCGCAAGCCUGAUCCAGCCAUGCCGCGUGCGGGAAGAAGGCCUUCGGGUUGUAAACCGCUUUUGUCAGGGAAGAAAUCUUCUGAGUUAAUACCUCGGGAGGAUGACGGUACCUGAAGAAUAAGCACCGGCUAACUACGUGCCAGCGGCCGCGGUAAUACGUAGGGUGCAAGCGUUAAUCGGAAUUACUGAGCGUAAAGCGUGCGCAGGCGGUUUUGUAAGACAGAGGUGAAAUCCCCGGGCUCAACCUGGGAACUGCCUUUGUGACUGCAAGGCUUGAGUGCGGCAGAGGGGGAUGGAAUUCCGCGUGUAGCAGUGAAAUGCGUAGAUAUGCGGAGGAACACCGAUGGCGAAGGCAAUCCCCUGGGCCUGCACUGACGCUCAUGCACGAAAAGCGUGGGGAGCAAACAGGAUUAGAUACCCUGGUAGUCCACGCCCUAAACGAUGUCAACUGGUUGUUGGGAAGGUUCCUUCUCAGUAACGUAGCUAGCGCGUGAAGUUGACCGCCUGGGGAGUACGGCCGCAAGGUUGAAACUCAAAUGAAUUUGAC